Molecule: small nuclear RNA, 103 nt
Organism: Protopterus annectens (West African lungfish)
Lineage: Eukaryota; Metazoa; Chordata; Ceratodontiformes; Protopteridae
Source: RefSeq, a predicted model, not a curated record
AUGGUUUGGCAGCACAUAUAUUAUAAUAUGAGCAAUACAGAAAAUAUUAGCAUAGCCCCUGAGCCAAGAUGACAUGCAAAUUUGUACAGCAUUCUGUAUUUUU